Molecule: ribosomal RNA, 464 nt
Filed under: uncultured bacterium
Lineage: Bacteria
Description: partial 16S ribosomal RNA
Rfam family: Bacterial small subunit ribosomal RNA
Source: RNAcentral
GACGAACGCUGGCGGCGUGCUUAACACAUGCAAGUCGAACGGAAAGGCCCUGCUUGCAGGGUACUCGAGUGGCGAACGGGUGAGUAACACGUGGGUGAUCUGCCCUGCACUUCGGGAUAAGCCUGGGAAACUGGGUCUAAUACCGGAUAGGAGCCAUUUUUAGUGUGAUGGUUGGAAAGUUUUUUCGGUGUAGGAUGAGCUCGCGGCCUAUCAGCUUGUUGGUGGGAUAAUGGCCUACCAAGGCGGCGACGGGUAGCCGGCCUGAGAGGGUGGACGGCCACAUUGGGACUGAGAUACGGCCCAGACUCCUACGGGAGGCAGCAGUGGGGAAUAUUGCACAAUGGGCGCAAGCCUGAUGCAGCGACGCCGCGUGGGGGAUGACGGCCUUCGGGUUGUAAACUCCUUUCGCUAGGGACGAAGCUUUUGUGACGGUACCUAGAUAAGAAGCACCGGCUAACUACGUG